This is a long non-coding RNA of Coturnix japonica (Japanese quail), 245 nucleotides long. RefSeq lists it as uncharacterized. Lineage: Eukaryota; Metazoa; Chordata; Aves; Galliformes; Phasianidae. The record is from RefSeq and is a predicted model, not a curated record.
UCUGGUUGUUGACAUGACAGCAGCUGCUGUCAAAGGCAAGAAACGUCUAUAGCAAACUAUUCUUAGUAUGCAGUACUUCUCAGCUGAAGAUCUCAGUUUAAAGGCAGUGAAAUCCACAGAAUCCAAUUUGACAAAUUCCAGAUCCCUGAAGGUGUAGCAGAAUGUUACUGACUCAGAGAACUGCUGGAACAAGACAGAAUCUCUAAGAAAAAUGGCCUGAAUAAAUUCUCCAUGUUUUUGUAAGA